AAUCACAAUUAUUGAACAUAAUAGUUAAUAACUUUAAUAUAACACACGGUACUUCCACCAAAUGCAGUUCACAAAUCACUGCUUUCCUGCUGGUUGUACUACAACUUUCAUUUUGAAUGUAAUUGCUUUUGCAAAUUUUUCAUGAUUUUUUAUUAUUAAAAAUAGUUAAAAACUUCACCAUUAUUGAACAUAAUAGUUAUAACUUUACUGUAAAAGAGUGUACUUCCACCAAAUUCAGUUCACACAUCACUGCUCUACUGCUGGUUAUACUACAACUUUGAUUUUAAAAGUAAUUGCUUUGGGCUCAUUUGUUAUGAUUUGUUUAUUAAGAAAAAUUGCUAAUAACUUUACUGUAACACACUCUUUUUCAACCAAAUUCAUUCACACAUCACUGCUCUCCUGCUGGUUUUACUACAACACUCAUAUUGAAAAUAAUUGCUUUGGCACAUUUUUUAAUAUUUUUUAUUAUGAAAAAUAGUUAAUAACUUUACUGUUACAAACUGUACUUUCAUCAAAUUCAGUUCACACAUCACUGCUCUCCUGCUGGUUAUACUACAACUUUGAUUUUGAAAGUAAUUGCGUUGGCUCAUUUAUUGUGAUUGAUUAUUAAGAAAAAUUGCUAAUAACUUUACUGUAACACACGUUUUUUCAACCAAAUUCAGUUCACACAUCACUGCUCUCCUGCUGGUUUUACUACAACACUCAUAUUGAAAAUAAUUGCUUUGAAACAUUUUUAUUAUUUUUAUUAUGAAAAAUAGUUAAUAACUGUACUGUUACAAACUGUACUUUCACCAAAUUCAGUUCACACAUAACUGCUCUCCUGCUGGUUAUACUACAACUUUCAUUUUGAAAGUAAUUGCUUUGGCAAAUGUUUAGAAUUUUUAUUAUGGAAAAUAGUUAAUAAAUUCACCAUUAUUGGACAUAAUAGUUAAUAACUUUAAUGUAACACACUGUACAUUCAUCAAAUUCAGUUCACACAUCACUGCUCUCCUGCUGGCUAUACUACAACUUUGAUUUAGAAAGUAAUUGCGUUGGCUCAUUUGUUAUGAUUUUUUUAUAAAAAAAAUAGGUAAUAAAUCACAAUUAUUGAACAUAAUAGUUAAUAACUUUAAUAUAACACACGGUACUUCCACCAAAUGCAGUUCACAAAUCACUGCUUUCCUGCUGGUUAUACUACAGCUUUCAUUUUGAAUGUAAUUGCUUUUGCAAAUUUUCAUGAUUUUUUUAUUAUUAAAAAUAGUUAAAAACUUCACCAUUAUUGAACAUAAUAGUUAAUAACUUUACUGUAAAAGAGUGUACUUCCACCAAAUUCAGUUCACACAUCACUGCUCUACUGCUGGUUAUACUACAACUUUGAUUUUAAAAGUAAUUGCCUUGGCUCAUUUGUUAUGAUUUGUUUAUUAAGAAAAAUUGCUAAAAACUUUACUGUAACACUUUUUUUUUUAACCAAAUUCAGUUCACACAUCACUGCUCUACUGCUGGUUAUACUACAACUUUCAUUUUGAAAGUAAUUGCUUUGGCACAGUUUUUAUAUUUUUUUUAUUUUGAAAAAUAGUUAAUAACUUCACCAUUAUUGAACAUAACAGUUAAUAACUUUACUGUAACACACUGUACUUUCACCAAAUUCAGUUCAUACAUCACUGCUCUUCUGCUGGUUAUACUACAACUUUCAUUUUGUAAGUAAUUGCUUUGGCAAUUUUUUUUUAUUUUUAUUAAUAAAAUAAAUAAUUAAAUUCACCAUUAUUGGACAUAAUAGUUAAUAACUUUACUGUAAUGCACUGUACUUACACCAAAUUCAGUUCACACAUCACUGCUCUCCAGCUGGUUAUACUACAACUUUCAUUUUGAAUGUAAUUGCUUUGGCACAUUUGUUAUGAUUUUUUAUUAAGAAAAAUUGCUAAUAACUUUACUGUAACACACUGUUUUUCAACCAAACAGUAACAGUAACAGUAAAGUUAUUAACUAUUAACUAUUGUUACAGUAAAGUUAUUUUACUGUUAUUUUAAAAGUAUUUUUGAAAAUAAAAAAUCAUAACAAAUGUGCCAAAGCAAUUACAUUCAAAAUGAAAGUUGUAGUAUAACCAGCAAGAGAGCAGUGAUGUGUGAACUGAAUUUGGUGGAAGUGUGUUACAGUAAAGUUAUUAACUAUUGUUCAAAAUAAAACGUCAUAAAAAUUGUGCCAAAACAAUAACUUUUAAAAUGAGUGUUGUAGUAUAACCAGCAGGAGAGUGGUGAUGUGUGAACUGAAUUUGGUGAAAGUACAGUGUGUUACAGUAAAGUUAUUAACUAUUGUUCAAAAUAAAACAUCAUAAAAAUUGUGCCAAAGCAAUUACUUUUAAAAUGAAAGUUGUAGUAUAACCAGCAGUAGAGCAGUGAUGUGUGAACUGAAUUUGGUGAAAGUACAGUGUGUUACAGUAAAGUUAUUAACUAUUAUGUCCAAUAAUGGUGAUGUUAUUAACUAUUUUUAAUAAUAAAAAAUCAUAAAGAAUGUGCAAAAGCAAUUAAUUUCAAAAUGAGUGUUGUAGUAUAACCAGCAAGAGAGCAGUGAUGUGUGAACUGAAUUUGGUUAAAGUACAGUAUGUUACAGUAAAG
Molecule: long non-coding RNA, 2591 nt
Filed under: Carassius auratus (goldfish)
Lineage: Eukaryota; Metazoa; Chordata; Actinopteri; Cypriniformes; Cyprinidae
Description: lncRNA (ENSCARG00000022081.1)
Source: RNAcentral